CAGCCGCCGCGGUAAUACGAAGGGGGCUAGCGUUGCUCGGAAUUACUGGGCGUAAAGGGAGCGUAGGCGGAUCGUUAAGUUGGGGGUGAAAGCCCGGGGCUCAACCUCGGAACUGCCUUCAAUACUGGCGAUCUUGAGUAUGAGAGAGGUGUGUGGGACUCCGAGUGUAGAGGUGAAAUUCGUAGAUAUUCGGAAGAACACCAGUGGCGAAGGCGACACACUGGCUCAUUACUGACGCUGAGGCUCGAAAGCGUGGGGAGCAAACAGGAUUAGAUACCCCCGUAGUCCCUGUCUCUUAUAA
This 301-nucleotide ribosomal RNA is filed under the name uncultured bacterium. RNAcentral's name for it is "partial 16S ribosomal RNA". It matches the Rfam family "Bacterial small subunit ribosomal RNA", at positions 509 to 809 of the family's 1533-position model. The record is from RNAcentral.